UUUAAAAAGCUUCUAAAACCCUUUCCCUCUCUCUCUCUCUCUCUCUCAGUAGCCAUAGUAGAAGUAGAAGAAGCAAUGGCGACCGAUCAAGACAUGAGCGGUUGGACCGAUCUGCUUCACUCUUCCACCAAGCUACUCGAACAAGCGGCGCCUUCCGCUCAGUUCCCUCCUCUUCAGAGAAACUUAGAUCAGUUAGAGGCAUUAUCAAAGAAGCUCAAAGCUAAAACCCUGCGAACUGAGGCUCCUUCUCAAUCUAUUGCUGCCACAAGGCUACUUGCGCGUGAGGGAAUAAAUGCGGAGCAACUUGCACGGGAUCUGAAGUCUUUUGAAUUGAAGACAACGUUUGAGGAUGUUUUUCCUGCUGAGGCAACAAGUGUCGAAGAGUAUUUGCAGCAGGUUCAUGAGAUGGCAAUGGUCUCUGCCAUUCAGGAAUCUCAGAAGGAUAACCUCAGAAGCUAUAAUGAUUACAUGUUGAAAGUUUUGGAGGAGGAUUGGCAAAAAGAAAAACGUGAUUUUCUACAGAGUUUAAGCCGAAUUUCAACGUUACCCAGGACUAACAUGAUCGAUAACAGCACUGGGGCUACUCAUCCAGGUCAAAUGGUGUCCAUUGCAUCUAGCCCUCAACGUUCAUCUGGUCCAUCUAGCAUGGACCUUGUACCUCUAGCUAACAAGCCUAUUAUUGAGAAAAAGGCAUCAGUCUAUGCUGUAGUUGUGAAGAAUUUAAAUAAUGCAAGGGAGCGUGGCUUACCAUUUAAGCCUGCUACAGCUUUCAAGGGUGCUUAUGAAAGUUUGGGUCUUGAGGGAUCCAGUGGAAAAUCCGUUAACUUGCAGAAGAUAUGGCACCUCAUUCAGAUGCUAAUGGGUGAAGAUGCAACUGUGCAACACAAUGUAUCAAAAAAGAUGUCACCAGUCAUUGGUGCAAGGCGCCACCUAGAAUGGGGGCAUGAGAAGUAUAUCAUGGAUACAAUACAAAGUCAUCCUGCACAGGCUGCUCUUGGUGGGGUGGUUGGAAAUUUGGAAAGAGUUCGCGCCUUUCUUCGGAUUCGUUUAAGGGAUUAUGGAGUUCUGGAUUUUGAUGCAGGCGAUGCUCGUAGACAACCUCCUGUUGAUACCACCUGGCAGCAGAUAUAUUUUUGCUUGAGAACUGGGUAUUAUGAUGAAGCAAGAAAGGUUGCUAUGUCAUCCCGUGCUUCACACCAAUUUGCUCCCCUGCUUACAGAGUGGAUAAAUACUAGAGGUAUGGUGCCCGCUGAGACUGCAGCUGCCGCCUCAGAAGAAUGCGAAAAAAUGUUAAGAAUGGGUGAUAGGGUGGGCCGAGCUGCAUAUGACAAGAAAAAGUUGUUGCUCUAUGCUAUGAUAUCUGGUUCUCGCAGGCAAAUUGACCGCCUGCUUAGAGAUCUACCAAAUUUGUUCAAUACUAUAGAGGAUUUCUUAUGGUUCAAACUGUCUGCUGUACGGGACUGCCCGAGUGGGGGCUCAUCUGUUGUUCUGAAUGAGGGGUUGGUACCAUACAGUUUGGAUGAUUUGCAGGUCUACCUGAACAAAUUUGAUCCAUCAUAUUAUACAAAAAAUGGAAAGGACCCUCUGGUAUACCCUUAUGUUUUGCUUUUAAGCAUCCAGUUGCUACCAGCUGUCUUAUACUUGUCUAAGGAAACAGGAGGUGGAGGAUAUAACAUUGAUGCUGCCCACAUGUCAAUUGUGUUAGCAGACCAUGGGGUCCUUUCUGAAGGUAUUAGUGCUGGGCAAAAACUGGGAGUGAUGGAUGCUUAUGCAGAGGCAUCUAGCAUGAUUAGGCAGUAUGGAUCUAUGUACUUACGAAGUGGUGAUCUAUCAACAGCAUUAGAAUAUUAUGCACAAGCUGCUGCUACUGUGGGUGGUGGACAGUUGUCAUGGACUGGAAGAGGUAAUGUGGAUCAGCAAAGGCAGAGAAGCUUGAUGUUAAAGCAACUCCUUACUGAGCUGUUGUUACGGGAUGGUGGGAUCUAUCUCUUACUUGGUUCAAGAGGUACCGGAGAAGAAGGUGACUUAGGAAGGUUUUUGACUGAUGCGAAAGCAAGACAUCAAUUUCUGCUUGAAGCUGCUUGUCAGUGUCAGGAAGCUGGGCUUUAUGACAAAUCAAUAGAAAUUCAGAAGAGAGUUGGGGCAUUUUCAAUGGCACUGGAUACUAUCAAUAAGUGCCUCUCUGAAGCAAUAUGCGCCCUCUCACGUGGUAGAUUAGAUGGUGAGAGCCAGACUGCUGGCCUCAUUCAUUCAGGCAAUGAAAUACUGGAGACAUACAGAUAUUAUCCUGAAGUCAGUCCUCAAGAGAGAGAGCAUGUUUUAGCGCAACAAACCGUGUUAAGACAACUUGAGGCAAUAUUGUCAAUCCACAAGUUGGCAAGAUUGGGCCAUCAUCUAGAUGCUUUGAGGGAGGUUGCUAAACUUCCAUUUCUUCCAUUAGAUCCACGAGCACCGGAUGCUACCAUUGAUGUGUUCCAGAAUUUAUCACCUCAUGUUCAAGAUUGUGUUCCAGACCUUCUGAAGGUUGCUCUUACUUGCCUGGACAAUGUAACGGAUUCUGAUGGAUCACUUCGUGCCUUGAGGGCUAAGAUUGCAAGCUUUAUUGCUAAUAACUUGAAAAGGAAUUGGCCUCGCGAUUUGUACGAAAAGGUUGCCCGAAGCUUGUGAAGCAUACAACAGAUGUCAGAUUUAGAUGCCUCAUCUGGCUGCGCAAAUGUAACAGGGUUAUGUUGUGUUGAGGUAUCAAGUAUGUAGCUUUUCUGUAAAAAAAAAGCCAUCAAGAUAGGCAGUCUUACCAUACUAACCAAUGUGGCUGGAGCGACUUCCAUUGGUUUUAUGAGGUUACCAUGGUUAUUUAUAAAUGAAAAACAAAUAAAUGGCUAGAUAUUUUGUGAAUC
Molecule: RNA transcript, 2897 nt
Organism: Quercus robur (English oak)
Lineage: Eukaryota; Viridiplantae; Streptophyta; Magnoliopsida; Fagales; Fagaceae
Gene name: nuclear pore complex protein NUP93A
Exons: 16
Source: RefSeq, a predicted model, not a curated record